UUUGGCGAUAGCGAAGAGGUCACACCCGUUCCCAUACCGAACACGGAAGUUAAGCUCUUCAGCGCCGAUGGUAGUCGGGGGUUUCCCCCUGUGAGAGUAGGACGCCGCCAAGCA
This 114-nucleotide ribosomal RNA is filed under the name Bacillus subtilis. Lineage: Bacteria; Bacillati; Bacillota; Bacilli; Caryophanales; Bacillaceae. The record is from RNAcentral.